Molecule: ribosomal RNA, 405 nt
Filed under: uncultured bacterium
Lineage: Bacteria
Description: bacterial SSU rRNA
Rfam family: Bacterial small subunit ribosomal RNA
Source: RNAcentral
AAUCAACGCUGGCGGCGUGCCUCAGACAUGCAAGUCGAACGCGAAAGUCCCCUUCGGGGGACAAGUAGAGUGGCGCACGGGUGAGUAACACGUAGGUAAUCUACCUUCGGGUGGGGAAUAACAACCGGAAACGGUUGCUAAUACCGCAUAAUGCAGCGGCACCUAAUGGUGACAGUUGUUAAAGCGGGGGAUCGCAAGAUCUCGCGCCUGAAGAGGAGCCUGCGGCGGAUUAGCAGUUGGUAGGGUAAUGGCCUACCAAGGCGACGAUCCGUAGCCGGCCUGAGAGGGCGACCGGCCACACUGGGACUGAGACACGGCCCAGACUCCUACGGGAGGCGGCAGUGGGGAAUCUUGCGCAAUGGGCGAAAGCCUGACGCAGCGACGCCGCGUGAGGGAUGACGGCCU